GCUCGCAGGCCGUGGCCCUGGCCCAGGACACCAGCUGGCUUUCGUAAGCGCCGCGGAGCCAGGAGCAGGCAGUUACACAAGCGUCUCCCGGCCGUGCCUGCGGUGUCACGGCAGGACAGAGCCCGGCAGGGCUCACGCACACCGGCCCCGCCGCGGGACGCUGCGGCUCGGGGGGGAUUACAGCUCAGCAAACCAGACACGGAUUUCAGCUUGGACACGGCUCUCCCCAGCUGAAGUAACUUCACAGUUCAUUUCGCAGUAAUCGGAGCACGGUGCACCCUCAGCAGCCUGCCAAGGCCAGCGGGACUGCGAGGAUGGGAACUGGGGACAGAAAGGUUCCCGGUGCUUGGACAGCGCAGGCGGCCAGAGGGCCGUGACUCAGCACAAAGAGCCAGCCAGGUCCUCAGCAGUGCUGAGCUCGGGAUAAACAAACUCACCCUUUCACCCUGACCUCUUUAGCAAAUGAAGAGACCCAAAAAAUCGAGGCCAAGGCACUUAAACCAUCUUUCAUCGGUCCCUCUUGACCCCACCCCAUCUGAAAAAACAUUAUCCCUGUCUCUUUUCAGCUGUGCGGAAGCCACACAAAGCCCAACACCUAAACCAGAAGAUACAAGACCCAGUACCCCUAAGGACAGAUAUAUUUUUAAUUAAUCUUUAUUCCAUUUCUAAAUUACCAGCUGCAAGAGGCUUUCAGAUCGUUUAAAGCCCGUGUCUCUAAGAGGCAGAGCUGACUCAUCAGGGAGGCACAGGAUGCGUUCACUUACAGGACCUUGUGGGAAUUAUCAGGCUCCUGGGCUCACAUCACUUAAAGCCAAGAUUCCCUUGGACCUGGUGUCGUGGCAGGGCAGUUCCCGGCACUAGCUUCCCCCUCCACUGACAAUUCUCAGAGAUGCCAGGAGGGACUUUAUUCCUGGAGGAGAGCAGCCACCAGAGUUCUGCCAGCUCUGCAAAGGGACGGUGAACAUCCCUGUGGGUGGAAGAGGCUCCAUUCCAGACAGCCUGGGACAGCAGACCGAGCCUGAACUGCUCCCGUCCAGCAGGCAGAGGCUGCUCUGGCACCUGCACGUCACCUGUCCCGGAGUGCUCCGUCCUUCCCACAGGACGGCACUCACCGGGCAGCAGAGAGGGCUGCGGGCACCAGCGCAGCGUUUAUCCUGCAGUUUGUCAGGGCAGGAGUUCAGCCGGCUCUGAGGCAGGGAUUGCAUCAUGCAGCUCCACAGCAGGUCCUGCAGUGAUGUUGUCACACAAACGAGUCACCGGGAACUCUGGCCUGCGGGACUUUGCUGAGGGACGCAGCACCGGAGCUGACAUCCCAUCCCAGCCCUGCGGCCCCAGCUCUGCUGCCCGCGGGGCUGCGGGGCCAGGGCACAGCCCGCGGGGCCGGGGGUCCGUGAGUUUCGGAGGGGCUUCGGGAGCCAUCUGCUGUCAUCAGCCCACAUUACAGCGAGGGGCUGAGGGCCACCAGAAGGGCUCUGCUCCCUCCCGCCCGCGCACGGACGAGUUUGAACCACUUUCCCAGAAUCACCGAAGUCGUAAAAGACCUCCAAGAUCAUCGAGUCCAACCUGUGACCGAUCCCCACCUUGUCAACCAGGCCAGAGCACUGAGUGCCACGUUGAGUCAUUCCCUGGACACCUCCAGGGAUGGAGACUCCACCACCUCCCUGGGCAGCCCCUUCAAUGUCUAAUCAUCCUUUCAGUGAAGAAACUCCUCCCGAGAAAAUCCCCAAAUUUAACUACAAGCAGAAAUAAGAGCCCCUCAGGGACAUCACCACCUCAUCCAGAGGGACUCGGAGCUCUCCAUAGGAAACACAGUGCUUCCAGCACAUGGGAGGGCUCCACUUGAGGGUCUGCAGUGAGCACAGUGGGAUUCCAGCCCCCCAGACGCACCGGGUGCUGGCAUUAAUCCAGCUCUCACAGGCCCAGGUGGAAGUGGCUGGGCACUCGCCCCCUGCUCGGAGGGCCCGGCGGAGCUGCAGGGAGCGUGGCAGGGGACGGGGACAUGCCGGGUGUCAUAGUGCUUUGGGACUGAGAGGCUUUGUUGCUCGGCAGGCAGCAGAGUGGCACUGGGCCUGGCACGGCAGCGUGCCCGUGUCCCAGCCUGCCGCUGGCCCUGGCGUGACGAGCGUGCGAGCCACGCCAGAGCGUGCAGCCCCGGAGGGCUCAGGGUGAGCGUGAGAGCCCCAGGGCUUCAGCACGGUGAGCGUGCAAGGCACAGCCUUUGCCAGCGUGGAGGGUGAGUGUGCAAGGUGAGCCCCUUUGCCAGCACGGUGACUGGGCAAGGUGGGCCCCUCUGUCAGCACCCUCUGUGAGCGUGCAGGGCACGUACAAGGUGUGUACCAGGUGUGAACGGGGUGUUUGUGCUCCAAGUGUCUGUGUGCAAUGCAGCUGUGUACCAGGUGUGUCUGUGUUCCAGGUGUGUCUGUGUCCCAGGUGUGUGUCUGUAUUCCAGGUGUUUCUCUAUCCCAGGUGUUUCUCAGUUCCAGGUGUUUCUGUUCCAGGUGUUUCUGUUCCAGGUGUUUCUCAGUUCCAGGUGUUUAUCCCAGGUGUUUCUGUCCCAGGGGUUUCUCUGUCCCAGGUGUUUCUCGUCCAGGUGUGUCUGUACUCUAGGUGUUUCUCUAUCCCAGGUGUUUCUCCAUUCCAGGUGUUUCUGUUUUCCAGGUGUUUCUGUCCCAGGUGUUUCUGUCCCAGGUGUUUCUGUUCCAGAUGUUUCUUUACUCCAGGUGUUUCUAUUCCAGGUGUUUCUCUAUUUCAGGUGUUUCUCUGUUCCAGGUGUUUCUGUCCCAGGUGUUUCUCUGUUCCAGGUGUUUCUGUUUUCCAGGUGUUUCUCUGUUCCAGGUGUUUCUGUCCCAGCUGUUUCUGUUCCAGGUGUUUCUGUUCCAG
Molecule: long non-coding RNA, 2880 nt
Organism: Motacilla alba alba
Lineage: Eukaryota; Metazoa; Chordata; Aves; Passeriformes; Motacillidae
Exons: 3
Source: RefSeq, a predicted model, not a curated record